ACUUCUUUAUCACCGAGUGCUUGCACUCACCGGUAAAGGGUUGGGUGGCGAACGGGUGAGUAACACGUGGGCAACCUGCCCAAAAGAGGGGGAUAACACUUGGAAACAGGUGCUAAUACCGCAUAACCAUAGUUACCGCAUGGUAGCUAUGUAAAAGGUGGCUAUGCUACCGCUUUUGGAUGGGCCCGCGGCGCAUUAGCUAGUUGGUGGGGUAAAGGCUUACCAAGGCAAUGAUGCGUAGCCGAACUGAGAGGUUGAUCGGCCACAUUGGGACUGAGACACGGCCCAAACUCCUACGGGAGGCAGCAGUAGGGAAUCUUCCACAAUGGGCGAAAGCCUGAUGGAGCAACGCCGCGUGGGUGAAGAAGGUCUUCGGAUCGUAAAACCCUGUUGUUAGAGAAGAAAGUGCGUGAGAGUAACUGUUCACGUUUCGACGGUAUCUAACCAGAAAGCCACGGCUAACUACGUGCCAGCAGCCGCGGUAAUACGUAGGUGGCAAGCGUUAUCCGGAUUUAUUGGGCGUAAAGGGAACGCAGGCGGUCUUUUAAGUCUGAUGUGAAAGCCUUCGGCUUAACCGGAGUAGUGCAUUGGAAACUGGGAGACUUGAGUGCAGAAGAGGAGAGUGGAACUCCAUGUGUAGCGGUGAAAUGCGUAGAUAUAUGGAAGAACACCAGUGGCGAAAGCGGCUCUCUGGUCUGUAACUGACGCU
Molecule: ribosomal RNA, 709 nt
Filed under: uncultured bacterium
Lineage: Bacteria
Description: bacterial SSU rRNA
Rfam family: Bacterial small subunit ribosomal RNA
Source: RNAcentral